AUGUCUUCCUCCGCAGCCCUAUCUUCCACCACGAGCGCGCUUUCCUCCUCCAUGGCCUCCACCUUCGCAUCAUCAUCUAGCAGCAGCUCUAUUCCUCUCGGACCGCCCCCACAGGAGAAGCUAACAAGGGGAAACUUCCUCUUAUGGAAGGCCGUCGUGCUCCCGCAAAUCCGAGGCGCACAGAUGGAGCACCACCUUGACGGGAAGAGCCAGGAACCACCGGCCACCCUCACCAUCACCAAAGAUGGAGAAGACGAACAGGUCGUCAACUUCGCCCGCACCCUCUGGUACGCGCAGCAACAGCAACUCCAGGGGUAUCUGAUGGGAUCUCUGUCCCAUGAGAUCCUUGCUCAAGUUGCCACCCUUCAGACGCCAGCAGAGGUCUGGAGCGCCAUCAACGCUAUGUUCGCCGCCCAGAGCCAGAGUCAGGCCAUCAACACCCGCAUCGAGCUCACGAACUUGAAGAAAGGUAACAUGUCCAUGGCAAAAUAUCUUGGCAAAAGUAAAACCCUUACAGAUGAAGUUGCAUGCUGCACCGGAGUUCCUCUUCCCGAUCCAGAGAUAGUCUCCAAGAUCAUGGCUGGCCUCGAUCUGGACUACAAUCCAGUCGUCUCCGCUCUGUCUGCUAGGGUUGAGCCCGUCUCGGUUCAGGAGCUGUACAGCCAGCUCUUGAGCUUUGAUGCUCACCUCGCCCUCCUCCACGGCACCAACAUCAGGCAGUCCUCCGUCAACUCGGCGGCUCGCGGGCGCGGUCACCAGGGACAGAACCGCAGCACCAACGGCGGCGGACGCGGCCGCGGCAACUACCAGGGCGAGGGUGCUCGUUCUGGUGGUGGCAACAACUCCGGAGGCGGCGGCUUCAAUAACAACAUGGGAGGUGGCGGCUUCAACAACAACAACAGCCGCCGCUCCUCCUCAAAUCGCCGCCCUCGUUGUCAGCUGUGCAAAAAGUCAGGCCAUGAGGUCAUGGACUGUUGGCACAGGUAUGAUGAAGACUUCUUCCCCGACGCUCGUCAUGUUGCUGCAGCCAUACGUGAAGAAGGAGGAGGAGGAGACGGCGUUUGGUACGUGGACUCGGGUGCAACAGAUCAUGUCACCAGCGAGUUAGAGCAACUUGCACUUCGUGAGAGAUACCACGGUGGCGACCAAAUUCACACUGCGGCAAGUGGUGGAGGUAUGGAUAUUUGUCACAUUGGACAAGCUUAUAUUAAUUCCCCCAACCUUAAACGUGAUCUAGUUCUUAAAGACGUGCUUCAUGUCCCACAAGCUGAUAAAAACCUUGCAUCCAUGUCUCGUCUAGACACUGAUAAUAACGUCUUCUUUGAAACUCACCCUCGUUACUUUUUUAUAAAGGACCGGGCAACGAGGGAACUUCUUCAUCACGGUAGAUGCGUUGGAGGGCUCUACCCCAUCACAUCCGGAGCACUCAGUCGCAAUCGUCGUCAAGUUUAUUCUGCCACUAAACCCUCCUUGGAAAGGUGGCAUCAAAUAUUAGGACACCCAUCAUCAAUCAUAGUUAAGCAAGUAGUCAAUAAAGACAAACUUUCUUUGUCACAUAGUCAAAAUGGUGAGUCAGUUUGUGAAGCUUGUCGGUGUGCCAAGAGCCACCAACUUCCUUAUCCCAAGUCAAAUAGUGUGUCCCAUGCUCCUUUAGAGCUUAUUUUCAGUGAUGUAUGGGGUCAUGCAAGAGAUUCUUUUGGAAGAAAUAAAUAA
This 1713-nucleotide ribosomal RNA is filed under the name Triticum aestivum (bread wheat). RNAcentral's name for it is "partial small subunit ribosomal RNA". Lineage: Eukaryota; Viridiplantae; Streptophyta; Magnoliopsida; Poales; Poaceae. The record is from RNAcentral.